RNAcentral lists this ribosomal RNA (292 nucleotides) under uncultured microorganism. RNAcentral describes it as "partial 16S ribosomal RNA". It matches the Rfam family "Bacterial small subunit ribosomal RNA", at positions 505 to 796 of the family's 1533-position model. The record is from RNAcentral.
GUGCCAGCAGCCGCGGUAAUACGUAGGUGGCAAGCGUUGUCCGGAAUUAUUGGGCGUAAAGCGCGCGCAGGUGGUUCUUUAAGUCUGAUGUGAAAGCCCACGGCUCAACCGUGGAGGGUCAUUGGAAACUGGGGAACUUGAGUGCAGAAGAGGAAAGUGGAAUUCCAAGUGUAGCGGUGAAAUGCGUAGAGAUUUGGAGGAACACCAGUGGCGAAGGCGACUUUCUGGUCUGUAACUGACACUGAGGCGCGAAAGCGUGGGGAGCGAACAGGAUUAGAUACCCUGGUAGUCC